GAUGAAGAACGCAGCGAAAUGCGAUAAGUAAUGUGAAUUGCAGAAUUCAGUGAAUCAUCGAAUCUUUGAACGCACAUUGCGCCCGCCAGUAUUCUGGCGGGCAUGCCUGUCCGAGCGUCAUUUCAACCAUCAAGCCCCCGGGCUUGUGUUGGGGACCUGCGGCUGCCCGCAGGCCCUGAAAACCAGUGGCGGGCUCGCUGUCACACCGAGCGUAGUAGCAAUCACCUCGCUCAGGGCGUGCUGCGGGUUCCGGCCGUUAAACAGCCUUACAAAACCCAAGGUUGACCUCGGAUCAGGUAGGAAGACCCGCUGAACUUAAGCAUAUCAAUAAGCGAGGA
This 338-nucleotide unclassified non-coding RNA is filed under the name soil metagenome. RNAcentral's name for it is "partial contains 5.8S ribosomal RNA, internal transcribed spacer 2, and large subunit ribosomal RNA". The stretch from base 1 to 120 matches the Rfam family "5.8S ribosomal RNA", at positions 35 to 154 of the family's 154-position model. The record is from RNAcentral.